Molecule: long non-coding RNA, 2520 nt
Organism: Macadamia integrifolia
Lineage: Eukaryota; Viridiplantae; Streptophyta; Magnoliopsida; Proteales; Proteaceae
Exons: 3
Source: RefSeq, a predicted model, not a curated record
CACUGAAGGUCUCUUUCUCUGGCUCAGGCGAGGAUUUCGUUAACUCGUUAGUGUUCUCCGGCAAAAACAAGAAGUCGUCACCGUCGUUGUCGCCGCCGCUGCAUUUGGAGAUCAAGGACAAGAGGACUAUCCGGCGUGCGAUGUUGGAGGCUAACGUUUUAUGUCCAGUGAAGAAAAUUUCCGGUAGGUUUCUAAGUUAUCAGGUGCGGGAUCUUGCUCUUUCCGGCUAAUAUUCUGGAGGAGGAGGAGGAGGACGAGGAGGAAGAGAUCUGCUAUGGUGAUGUGGAUCACUGUGGAAUGUCGUGGAACGUAUUUGUGACGGAAAAAUCUAACUUCGUCGGUGGCAAAGGAAUGAAGGUCGGCGGCGCCAGAGGAAGUACCGGUCAGAAGAAAAUCAGUGAUUAUUAUAAAAAUAUGUUGAAAUCUAACCCUGGAGAUCCACUUUUGUUAAGGAACUACGGUCAACUCUUACAUCAGGUAGAGAAAGAUGCAGUGAGAGCUGAAGAGUACCAUGGAAGAGCAAUUUAGCGAAUCUAGGAGACGGGGAAGUGUUGUCUCUGUACAAGAAAUUGAUUUGGGAAACCCAAAGAAAUGAAGAUAGAGCCAACGCUUACUUCAAACAAGCCGUUCAAGCAUCUUCUCCUUCUCCUUCGAUUCAGCGACAAAUUUUAGUAACCAAACGUGUUUCAGCGACACAGGGGAAGGGGAGAAGAACGGGGAACAAAUGAAGGGUCUCUUGGACAUUUCACAAGUAAGGGGUAUUUUGGGCAUUAUGAAAAAAAAUAGCUGACUUAACAGCGAUUUCUAACUGUUGCGGUCGUCACAUAGAAUAUUUUAGUUGUAGGGGAGGUGAGUGAUAUUUUAAGAAAGGUGUGGGGUCAAGUUGAUAUUUCGUCAUAGUUUAAGGGAAGGGAGUGAUAUUUAUUCAUAUAUAUAUAUAUAUAUAUAUAUCUUACUAUCAUACGAUCAUGCUAUCAUGUUAUCAUACUAUUAUAUAAAAGCAUGUACUUAUGUUUCAUGGUUAAUAUUUUUUUCGAUUACUUUAACAUUUUUUAUUUAUUUAUUACCUUAUCUUCUUUAUUAUAACUUUUCUUAUUUUUCUUAUUUUAUUUUAUUUUAUUUUAUUUUUAUAUCCUUUGUUUUCUAUUUUUAAUGACUAAACAUUUUUCUAAAAAAUCGUUUCUUUUAUUAUCUCAAAUUCUCAUGCAACCUUCUAUAAAAUAAAAUAGAGAUCUCACGUUUCUUCUCUCUCCUUCUAUAUAUUUUUUUGGUAUAAUUUGUUUUCUCAUUUUGAUGACUACAUAUUUUUCUAAAACAAUAGUUUCUUUUAUUAUCUCAAAUUCUCACCCAAGCUUCUAUAAAAUAAAAUAGAGAUAUCACGUUUCUUCUCUCUCCUUCUAUAUAUUUUUGUGGUAUCCUUCGUUUACUCUUUUUAAUGACUAAAUAAAUAAUUUUCUAAAACAAUAAUUUCUUCUAUUAUCUGAAAUUCUCAUGCAACCUUUUAUAAAAUAAAAUAGAGAUCUCACAUUUCUUCUCUCUCCUUCUAUAAGAAAAAUCACUUUUCCCUUUUUAUUAUAUCCGCUUUCCUUUUCCUCCUCUUUCUCUCUGUCUCUGUCACUAACGUUUCCUUCUUUCUCAAUUUUUUUUUAAAAUAUCUUUUAUUUAACUUGAAAAUUUAGUUACUCCCUCACUCCCUCUGGACCCUAACCUUCUCUUUCUCUUAGAAUAGCGUGAAGAGAAAACAGUUCAUCUCUGCACCUCUUCGUCACUCCCUCUUCUUUGAUAGCAGUGUCGUCCGUAGGUAACUAAAUUACUAACCCUCUCUCUUUUAGAUUAUUUUUCUCCUUUUUUUCUUAGAUUGCAGAUCAAUCCUCACUUUCACUGUUUCCACCCUCUCUCUUCUCUUUUCCUUCUCUUUGAGGGAAACACAAGAAAAAGAAGAAGAGAAAUUUAAGAGGCUUGCAAGGAACCCUAACUCCUGUAAACAGUUACCUCUCUCUCUAGCAAUGGAUUUUUUUUUUUCCUGCAAUUUUCCUUCAAGAGGGAAAUCAUUCAACUUUAACUCUCCUCCAAGAGGGAAAUCAGGUCGCUCUUGCUCCAUGGUGCUAUUGAAGGCCGAUGUGGAACUCACCAUUGUUGGGGAGAAGCUGUUUUGUUUUGAGAAUCUCUCUCGGAAUUUAUGUCGGUAUGCACUAGAAUUUCUAUCUCCGAACCUUAAGUCAACUCUUUUUUUUUUUUUUCCCUUAAGUUCUUAAAGAUAAUCCUUAUGUUUAAAAUGUGUUCCAUUUGGCUGAAGUGUUCAUUAAUCCUUAUGAAAAGUGCCAUCUGGCUGAAGUGUGUUGAUCAAAUUGAAGGAAAAUUUAUGUACUGAAGUGUAGGUUUGUCGGAACUCUUUACUUAGAGGUGGAUGCUAAUUUUGUAUUCUUUAAGUGGGAAGUUUUACUUGAUCAUCAACAAUUGGCUUCAGGUUGUUGCACUUUGCAACUUGUGUGAGGCUUCUGGAUCAUGGAAAUAGUUGAG